UACGGGGGGUGCGAGCGUUGUCCGGAAUCAUUGGGCGUAAAGAGCGUGUAGGCGGCCCGGUAAGUCCGCUGUGAAAGUCGGGGGCUCAACCCUCGAAUGCCGAUGGAUACUGCAGGGCUAGAGUCCGGAAGAGGCGAGUGGAAUUCCUGGUGUAGCGGUGGAAUGCGCAGAUAUCAGGAGGAACACCAAUAGCGAAGGCAGCUCGCUGGGACGGUACUGACGCUAAGGCGCGAAAGCGUGGGGAGCGAACAGG
This 253-nucleotide ribosomal RNA is filed under the name uncultured bacterium. RNAcentral describes it as "partial 16S ribosomal RNA". It matches the Rfam family "Bacterial small subunit ribosomal RNA", at positions 524 to 776 of the family's 1533-position model. The record is from RNAcentral.